This 31-nucleotide non-coding RNA is filed under the name Macaca fascicularis (crab-eating macaque). RNAcentral also lists the same sequence under 1 other name. Lineage: Eukaryota; Metazoa; Chordata; Mammalia; Primates; Cercopithecidae. The record is from RNAcentral.
UCAAAACCUGCUGAACACUCACCCUCAAUGU